This 501-nucleotide ribosomal RNA is filed under the name uncultured bacterium. RNAcentral describes it as "partial 16S ribosomal RNA". It matches the Rfam family "Bacterial small subunit ribosomal RNA", at positions 29 to 523 of the family's 1533-position model. The record is from RNAcentral.
AUUGAACGCUGGCGGCAUGCCUUACACAUGCAAGUCGAACGGCAGCACGGGUGCUUGCACCUGGUGGCGAGUGGCGAACGGGUGAGUAAUACACCGGAACGUACCUUAUCGUGGGGGAUAACGCAGCGAAAGCUGUGCUUAUACCGCAUACGCCCUGAGGGGGAAAGCGGGGGAUCGAAAGACCUCGCGCGAUUAGAGCGGCCGAUGCCUGAUUAGCUUGUUGGUGGGGUAAAAGCCCACCAAGGCGACGAUCAGUAGCUGGUCUGAGAGGACGAUCAGCCACACUGGGACUGAGACACGGCCCAGACUCCUACGGGAGGCAGCAGUGGGGAAUUUUGGACAAUGGGGGCAACCCUGAUCCAGCAAUGCCGCGUGAGUGAAGAAGGCCUUCGGGUUGUAAAGCUCUUUUGUCAGGGAAGAAACACCGGCUCUAACACAGUCCGGGAAUGACGGUACCUGAAGAAUAAGCACCGGCUAACUACGUGCCAGCCGCCGCGGUAA